ACGUAGGGUGCAAGCGUUAAUCGGAAUUACUGGGCGUAAAGCGUACGCAGGUGGUUGGUUAAGUCAGAUGUGAAAUCCCCGGGCUCAACCUGGGAACUGCAUUUGUAACUGCCUAGCUAGAGUUUGUCAGAGGGGGGUGGAAUUCCACGUGUAGCGGUGAAAUGCGUAGAGAUGUGGAGGAACACCGAUGGCGAAGGCAGCCCCCUGGGACAUGACUGACGCUCAGGUACGAAAGCGUGGGGAGCAAACAG
Molecule: ribosomal RNA, 251 nt
Filed under: uncultured prokaryote
Description: partial 16S ribosomal RNA
Rfam family: Bacterial small subunit ribosomal RNA
Source: RNAcentral